UACGUAGGGGGCUAGCGUUGUCCGGAUUUAUUGGGCGUAAAGAGCGUGUAGGCGGCCAGGUAGGUCUGCUGUGAAAACUCGAGGCUCAACCUCGAGAGGUCGGUGGAAACCGUUUGGCUAGAGUCCGGAAGAGGAGAGUGGAAUUCCCGGUGUAGCGGUGAAAUGCGCAGAUAUCGGGAAGAACACCCGUGGCGAAGGCGGCUCUCUGGGACGGUACUGACGCUGAGACGCGAAAGCGUGGGGAGCGAACAGG
Molecule: ribosomal RNA, 253 nt
Filed under: uncultured bacterium
Lineage: Bacteria
Description: partial 16S ribosomal RNA
Rfam family: Bacterial small subunit ribosomal RNA
Source: RNAcentral